UUCUACACUAAGCCAGUGAAGGUUUUAGUUAUUUAUAGAGUCUAUGACGUGGCACAGUAUCCAUGGAAGACUUACUUGAAGAAUCACAAGACGCUUCUAUCAUGUGCUAUACAGCCAAGCUGGAUGUGAACUUGCAUGAGAAAUUUCACAGCUUGGUUUCCAAAUAUUCAGAAGCUCUACGGGGAUCUGUUGCACCUGUUCCCACACACAAGAAAGAUGUGAGCAGGAACCAGAAGAUGUAAGCUGUUGGAUGUAGCCUUUCCAGGCUGUAGCUGGCAGGUCCAGCAUCUCUGCUGAAGCUUCCCAUGGCACCUUGGCCAAGACAAGCAGAAGCACAACCCAUAGCCAGUGGGACACUGCCAUGCAUAAAUACCCAAGUACCUUGCCAGAAGCUAAGUAGAAAAUAAAAUUUUGGUGCAGAUGAUACUUGAAAAAUUGAGAAAUAGAUAUAGAAUACAGGAAGGAGAACAGAACAAAGCUGGGGGAAGUAAGGAAUAUAAAAGGAAAGGAAGUUGGUAAAGGAGGGAAAAAGGAAGUAUGGAAGAUUUAAUCCAGUCAAUUAGCAUUCAGUUCAAGGGCUUUGAACAGGACAUGCUCAUAGCACCACAGAGAAUAGCAGUGCACCAUAAAGAAUAAGGAUUUUCUAGCAUGUGAUAUAGAUCCAUUGUUAAUAAAGCUGAUGAGGAAUUUGCAAGGAAAGAAUAUCACAGGCUGUUAUCUGACAGAACUACAAUGUGUCUACUGAGAAAUCUAACCCAG
RNAcentral lists this long non-coding RNA (759 nucleotides) under Gallus gallus (chicken). Its description in RNAcentral is "lncRNA (ENSGALG00010018424.1)". Lineage: Eukaryota; Metazoa; Chordata; Aves; Galliformes; Phasianidae. The record is from RNAcentral.